RNAcentral lists this ribosomal RNA (559 nucleotides) under uncultured Mycoplasma sp. RNAcentral's name for it is "partial 23S ribosomal RNA". It matches the Rfam family "Bacterial large subunit ribosomal RNA", at positions 546 to 1105 of the family's 2925-position model. Lineage: Bacteria; Bacillati; Mycoplasmatota; Mollicutes; Mycoplasmatales; Mycoplasmataceae. The record is from RNAcentral.
GAACAUGAAAUUACUAGCCUACAAAGAGUCGAAGCACAUUAAUGUGUGACGGCGUGCGUUUUGAAGUAUGAGCCGGAGAGUUAUUGCAAGUUGCAAAGUUAAGCCUCAAAGGGUGGAGCUGGAGCGAAAGCGAGUCUUAAUAGGGCGUUAAGUAGGUUGCAAUAGACCCGAAAGGGGACGAGCUAUCCAUGAGCAGGUUGAAAUUUGGAUAAAACCAGAUGAAGGACUGAACCGACUGUCGUUGAAAUGAUAGCGGAGGACUUGUGGAUAGAGGUGAAAUUCCAAUCGAGUUCCCUGAUAGCUGGUUUUUGUCGAUAUAGUUUUAGGACUAGCGUCAAAUAAAUUGAUGAUUGGAGGUAAAGCACUAAAUCUAUAAGGGCACUUCGCUGUGUACUAAAUAGAAUUAAACUCUGAAUUCCAGUCAUUUUACUUUGGCAGUGAGACUAUUUGGGAUAAGCUUUAUAGUCGUGAGGGAAAGAGCCCAGACCAACAAAUAAGGUCCCUAAAUUAAGCUAAGUGGAAAAGGAAGUCAAAAUUCAUAAACAACUAGGAUGUUGGC